AUUUUGUUUGAUCCUAGCUAUCAGCUUAGCUAACUUCUAAAAAAACAUAUGGAAGCCCCUACCCCCCAGUAAAGAUAUAAACUCAGCUAAUUUAAUUUUCUUAAUGAAUACUAAUUAGAAGUUUCUUAGAAUAAACUUUUAGUUUAAACUUAAAAAUUUUUACUCCCAAUGUAUAACCUUACUACAUACACGAAAGUGUGAAAUAGUUAAGAAAUUUUUAGAGCAGGUAAAAAGUGUGCCAGCAACCGCGGUUAGACACAAUGCUCAAGUUAAACAUAACGGUAAAACUAUGGUUAAACUUAAUUAAAGAUAAAAACAUAAGCCCCUCUAAGUCAAACUAAAAUCUUAAAUUUUCUUCCAUUAUCUUAUUUGUCUGCCAUGAAAGCUAAAACUAAAACUGGGAUUAGAUACCCCACUAUUUUUAGCACUAAAUCCCGCAUAAACCAGGGUAAUACGAUCGCAAGAUUAAAACCCAAAGGACUUGGCGGCGUUUUAUAUUCGAUCAGGGGAACCUGUCCUUUAACCCGACAAUCCGCGAAUAACUUUCUUAAUUUUGAAACAACCAGCCUAUUUAUUUCCGUCGAAAGUCUAUGCCUUAAAGCUUAAAGAAUAGGCUUAAUGAGUUAUUCUCUGUACGUCAGGUCGCGAUAUAGCCUAUAGUUAAGAAGAGAUGGGUUACAAUCUAAACUCAAGUUUCGGACUAAGACUUAACAAAUCUUAUAAAGUUGGACUUGCCAGUAAACGUAAAACAUCACCUUACUUUGAACAAGACCAUUUAAACGUGCACAAAUCGCCCGUCGCUCUUCUUGUAAAAGAAGAUAAGUCGUAACAUAGUUGGUGUAGCGGAAGCUGUACCU
This 857-nucleotide ribosomal RNA is filed under the name Chaetopterus variopedatus. Its description in RNAcentral is "small subunit ribosomal RNA". Lineage: Eukaryota; Metazoa; Annelida; Polychaeta; Chaetopteridae. The record is from RNAcentral.